Molecule: RNA transcript, 2125 nt
Organism: Schistocerca americana (American grasshopper)
Lineage: Eukaryota; Metazoa; Arthropoda; Insecta; Orthoptera; Acrididae
Gene: DPCoAC
Gene name: mitochondrial coenzyme A transporter SLC25A42
Exons: 10
Source: RefSeq, a predicted model, not a curated record
CUUUUUAUUCUUUAAUAUUUGUGUACUUCUUGCGUCUUGUUGUUAUAAAUUUUUUCUGCGGAGUACGUUACACAAUGAAACUGUAAAAAUGCAAUGAGUUAUUUCAUUGCCUGGAAGAAUACAAACUACAAAGUACAGCUCUGUCAUAGUACAAAGAUAAAUACAGCGUAUUGAUGAUAGUGCUCUGCCUAUGCUUCUUGUAACCGAUAGGUACAAGAAGUGCCGUGAUGUGAAGGGCAAAGUACCAGUGCGCAUCAGCGACUGCCAAUUUAAAUGGUCAAGGCCUCGUGAAGUGUGUUAUGACAUGUAAGAUCCUCAGCACAGGAAGACGACGUACAUACUGUACAAGUUUGGAAGACUGACACGAUAUAUGUGGAUAUUUCAACGAAAGAACCAUAAAUGAUGCAGAAAUGAGUCAUAGCACAGUGGAUUCUGCAGCAGGAGCUGCCGCUGUUCUGAGGGAGGAGUUAGCAUCUGCAGUCAAUAGGCAGCAGCAACAUCCACCUGCUGCUUCCGCUGCUGGCGCUUCUUCUGAAGUUCACCACAUGGCAGAUGUUGCGGGUCCUGCUGCAGAACUGAGUGGAACAGAGAUGAUCAUAGCAAGUCUCCUAGCAGGGGCAACGGCUGGAGCAGCUGCUAAAACAACAAUAGCACCACUUGAUAGGACCAAAAUUAAUUUCCAGAUAUCUGAGAAGCCAUAUUCAGUCAAAGAGGCUAUAAAGUUCUUGAAACAAACUUACAAGAAUGAGGGAGCACUCAGUUUAUGGCGUGGAAAUUCUGCCACUAUGGCCCGAAUAGUACCUUAUGCUGCAAUCCAGUUUACUGCACAUGAACAAUGGAAAAAACUACUUAAAAUAGAUGUUGACAAGGACAAAAAACCUCCACCAGUAAUGAGGCUGCUAGCUGGAUCACUAGCAGGUGUAACAUCUCAGUCCUUGACCUAUCCACUUGAUCUGGCUAGAGCACGUAUGGCUGUAACGCACAAGGAACAAUAUCGCACUUUAAGGCAGGUGUUUGUCAAGAUUUGGACUGAAGAAGGCCCAAGGACAUUUUAUCGUGGUUAUGUGCCAACAAUAAUGGGAGUCAUCCCAUAUGCUGGUGUGAGUUUCUUCACGUAUGAUUCCUUAAAAAGGAAAUACAUGGAGUAUACAGGCAGCUCCAGUCCUAAUGCCAUAGCAAGCUUGUUGUUUGGUGCAGUUGCUGGAAUGCUGGGUCAGUCGUCGUCAUAUCCACUCGACAUUGUUCGGAGAAGAAUGCAGACGUCUUCAUUAACUAAUACUCAGUAUCAAACAAUUUUGGGAACACUCCAAAAAAUAUACAGGGAAGAGGGAAUACGCCAGGGUUUUUUCAAGGGGCUAAGUAUGAACUGGAUCAAAGGACCUGUUGCCGUAGGAAUAAGUUUUGCUACCUACGAUUCAGCAAAGGAUUUUCUGAAGCAAUUAUUGCUAAUUAGACAUAGAUGAAACAUUAAAACUUGGAUGACAAGCAGUGUGUAUAAGUAAACUGAUUGGCAGGCCAUCCGUAAACACCUUGUGGGGGAAUAUGUGACCUACAUGCAGUACAUUGCUGAUCCCUGUGUUAAGAUGCUGUGUUGAGGCCUGAAUAUUUUUACAGCUGAAAACACAUAGAUAGCAAAUAUUGCUCUAUGCUGGUUCAUAACAGACUAAAACUGUGCAUGAAAAUGUUUGAUAUGCUUCUGACAAUUUUUUAUUGCUGCAUACAAAGGUCACAAAACACAAGCACACUAGUCUUGAGAGUUGUGCCAUUAUAAGAUAAAUUAUGAAGGGAGAAAAUGCUGGGAGUUUCAGAAAUGUUAAUAGCCGUGGAACUAACAUGCUCUGAAAUCGUGCUUACAGUAUCAUUCAUGGGAAUAUAAUCAAACUAAAACAUAAAAGUAAUUGAAAGUGACAGUUUCCAUUGUCCCAAAGUAUUUCUAUCAACUUGCUGUGAAGGUGAAGGAAAUUGUAUGUGUCAGUGCCUGAAACAAACCAAAUGUAUAUUAUUGUUAUAGUAUUUUGUAUAUUAAUUUUGUUGAUUUUUAUAAAAGUCUACUGUUAAAAUGUCAAUUAAACUGAAUGUCUAAUGCAGAAAAAAGAUCCCACAAAGUUGUGUAUGUAACUUGUCA